RNAcentral lists this ribosomal RNA (501 nucleotides) under uncultured Microbacterium sp. Its description in RNAcentral is "bacterial SSU rRNA". It matches the Rfam family "Bacterial small subunit ribosomal RNA", at positions 1 to 507 of the family's 1533-position model. The record is from RNAcentral. Lineage: Bacteria; Bacillati; Actinomycetota; Actinomycetes; Micrococcales; Microbacteriaceae.
GUAGAGUAGUUUGAUUCCGUGGCUCGAGGAUGAACGCUGGGCGGCGUGCUUAACACAUGCAAGUCGAACGGUGAACACGGAGCUUGCUCUGUGGGAUCAGUGGCGAACGGGUGAGUAACACGUGAGCAACCUGCCCCUGACUCUGGGAUAAGCGCUGGAAACGGCGUCUAAUACUGGAUAUGUGACGUGACCGCAUGGUCUGCGUUUGGAAAGAUUUUUCGGUUGGGGAUGGGCUCGCGGCCUAUCAGCUUGUUGGUGAGGUAAUGGCUCACCAAGGCGUCGACGGGUAGCCGGCCUGAGAGGGUGACCGGCCACACUGGGACUGAGACACGGGCCCAGACGUCCUACGGGAGGCAGCAGUGGGGGAAUAUUGCACAAUGGGCGCAAGCCUGAUGCAGCAACGCCGCGUGAGGGAUGACGGCCUUCGGGUUGUAAACCUCUUUUAGCAGGGAAGAAGCGAAAGUGACGGUACCUGCAGAAAAAGCGCCGGCUAACUACGUG